UAGUCCAUGCCGUAAACGAUGUCUACUAGCCGUUGGGGCCUUUGAGGCUUUAGUGGCGCAGCUAACGCGAUAAGUAGACCGCCUGGGGAGUACGGUCGCAAGACUAAAACUCAAAUGAAUUGACGGGGGCCCGCACAAGCGGUGGAGCAUGUGGUUUAAUUCGAUGCAACGCGAAGAACCUUACCUGGCCUUGACAUACUAGAAACUUUCCAGAGAUGGAUUGGUGCCUUCGGGAAUCUAGAUACAGGUGCUGCAUGGCUGUCGUCAGCUCGUGUCGUGAGAUGUUGGGUUAAGUCCCGCAAUGAGCGCAACCCUUUUCCUUACUUGCCAGCAUUUCGGAUGGGAACUUUAAGGAUACUGCCAGUGACAAACUGGAGGAAGGCGGGGACGACGUCAAGUCAUCAUGGCCCUUACGGCCAGGGCUACACACGUGCUACAAUGGUCGGUACAAAGGGUUGCUACCUAGCGAUAGGAUGCUAAUCUCAAAAAGCCGAUCGUAGUCCGGAUUGG
Molecule: ribosomal RNA, 510 nt
Filed under: uncultured bacterium
Lineage: Bacteria
Description: bacterial SSU rRNA
Rfam family: Bacterial small subunit ribosomal RNA
Source: RNAcentral